Molecule: ribosomal RNA, 481 nt
Filed under: uncultured bacterium
Lineage: Bacteria
Description: bacterial SSU rRNA
Rfam family: Bacterial small subunit ribosomal RNA
Source: RNAcentral
GACGAACGCUGGCGGCGUGCCUAACACAUGCAAGUCGAGCGAUGAAGUUCCUUCGGGAAUGGAUUAGCGGCGGACGGGUGAGUAACACGUGGGUAACCUGCCUCAUAGAGGGGAAUAGCCUUCCGAACGGAAGAUUAAUACCGCAUAAUGUAGUACCUUCGCAUGAAGGAACUAUCAAACGAGCAAUCUGCUAUGAGAUGGACCCGGGGCGCAUUAGCUAGUUGGUGAGGUAACGGCUCACCAAGGCGACGAUGCGUAGCCGACCUGAGAGGGUGAUCGGCCACAUUGGAAAUGAGACACGGUCCAGACUCCUACGGGAGGCAGCAGUGGGGAAUAUUGCGCAAUGGGGGAAACUCUGACGCAGCAACGCCGCGUGAAUGAAGAAGGCCUUCGGGUUGUAAAGUUCUGUCUUAUGGGAAGAUAAUGACGGUACCAUAGGAGGAAGCCACGGCUAACUACGUGCCAGCCGCCGCGGUAACAC